GCGAAAAAGCUAGCCUAAACACACCAAAUAAACGACCAACCAUCAAUAACAGACAAAAAACCAACUAAAGCAUUUUUCCACCUAAGUAUAGGCGAUAGAAAAGGACACACUCUUAGAGCCAUAGAAAAAGUACCGCAAGGGAAAGCUGAAAAAGAAAUGAAAGAACCCAUAAAGCAAUAAAAAGCAGAGAUUAAAACUCGUACCUUUUGCAUCAUGAUUUAGCAAGCACAAUCCAAGCAAAAGGAAUCUUAGUUUGGAACCCCGAAACUAGACGAGCUACUCCGGAGCAGUUUAAAAGAACCAACCCGUCUCUGUGGCAAAAGAGUGGGAAGACCCCCGAGUAGGAGUGAAAAACCUAACGAGCCUAGUUAUAGCUGGUUGCUUAAGAAAUGAAUUUUAGUUCAGCCCCGCAUAUUCCUUAGACCAAUACAACCGCUUACAAGGAACAAAGUGAUUUACGGGAGUUAGUCAAAGGGGGUACAGCCCCUUUGAAACAGGACACAACCUUAUCAGACGGACAAGGAUCAAAAGUACUAAAGGAUAAAACCCCUCAGUGGGCCCAAAAGCAGCCACCUGGAAAGAAAGCGUUAUAGCUCAAGGAACAACUCCACCAACAAUAAUGACAAUAUAUCCAAACCCCCUAAAAAUAUUAAGCCACUCUAUGCUCACAUAGAAGAAACAAUGCUAAAAUGAGUAAUAAGAGAGCAUUCAGCUCCCUCCAAGCGCAAGUGUAAGUCAGAACGGACAAGCCACUGACAAUCAACGGACCCAAACCUGAGGGAAAAACAAUGGAAGAAAUACACAAGAAAACCUUGCAUAAAAAAACCGUUAACCCAACACAGGUGCGCAAUAAAGGAAAGACUAAAAGGAGAGGAAGGAACUCGGCAAACACUAACCCCGCCUGUUUACCAAAAACAUCGCCUCUUGCUAAAAAGAAUGUAUUAGAGGUCCCGCCUGCCCUGUGACCACUGUGUUUAACGGCCGCGGUAUCAUAACCGUGCGAAGGUAGCGUAAUCACUUGUCUUUUAAAUGAAGACCUGUAUGAAUGGCACCACGAGGGUUUAUCUGUCUCCCCCCCCUAGUCAAUGAAAUUGAUCUGUCCGUGCAGAAGCGGACAUAAAAACAUAAGACGAGAAGACCCUAUGGAGCUUCAGGCUAAAGGCCCAAACAUGUAAAAAAUCUCACAUAAACGAAAGAAACAAAGUAGAUUCAAACCUAAUGUACUAUGACCACAUGCCUUCGGUUGGGGCGACCACGGGGGAAAACAAAGCCCCCGAAUGGAAUGAAGACAUCUUCCGAACCAAGAAACACAUUUCUAAGUAACAGAAAAUCUGACCAAACAUGACCCAGGAUAAAUUUACCCGAUCAAUGAACCAAGUUACCCUAGGGAUAACAGCGCAAUCCUUUCCCAGAGUCCCUAUCGACGAAAGGGUUUACGACCUCGAUGUUGGAUCAGGACAUCCUAAUGGUGAAGCCGCUAUUAAGGGUUCGUUUGUUCAACGAUUAACAGUCCUACGUGAUCUGAGUUCAGACCGGAGCAAUCCAGGUCGGUUUCUAUCUAUGACUAUACUUCUCCCCAGUACGAAAGGACCGGGAAAAGAGGGCCCAUACUAAAAGCAAGCCCCACCUCAACCCCUUGAAAACAAAUAAAAGAGAUAAUGAAGUAUAUCCAACUCACCAAAGAUAAUGGUAG
RNAcentral lists this ribosomal RNA (1693 nucleotides) under Brachysomophis crocodilinus (crocodile snake eel). RNAcentral's name for it is "16S ribosomal RNA". It matches the Rfam family "Bacterial large subunit ribosomal RNA". The record is from RNAcentral. Lineage: Eukaryota; Metazoa; Chordata; Actinopteri; Anguilliformes; Ophichthidae.